GCUGGCGGCAGGCCUAACACAUGCAAGUCGAGCGGUUGAAGGAAGCUUGCUUCCUGAUUCAGCGGCGGACGGGUGAGUAAUGCCUAGGAAUCUGCCUGGUAGUGGGGGACAACGUUUCGAAAGGAACGCUAAUACCGCAUACGUCCUACGGGAGAAAGCAGGGGACCUUCGGGCCUUGCGCUAUCAGAUGAGCCUAGGUCGGAUUAGCUAGUUGGUGAGGUAAUGGCUCACCAAGGCGACGAUCCGUAACUGGUCUGAGAGGAUGAUCAGUCACACUGGAACUGAGACACGGUCCAGACUCCUACGGGAGGCAGCAGUGGGGAAUAUUGGACAAUGGGCGAAAGCCUGAUCCAGCCAUGCCGCGUGUGUGAAGAAGGUCUUCGGAUUGUAAAGCACUUUAAGUUGGGAGGAAGGGCAGUCAGCGAAUACCUUGCUGUCUUGACGUUACCGACAGAAUAAGCACCGGCUAACUCUGUGCCAGCAGCCGCGGUAAUACAGAGGGUGCAAGCGUUAAUCGGAAUUACUGGGCGUAAAGCGCGCGUAGGUGGUUUGUUAAGUUGAAUGUGAAAUCCCCGGGCUCAACCUGGGAACUGCAUCCAAAACUGGCAAGCUAGAGUAGGGCAGAGGGUGGUGGAAUUUCCUGUGUAGCGGUGAAAUGCGUAGAU
This 665-nucleotide ribosomal RNA is filed under the name Pseudomonas sp. Its description in RNAcentral is "bacterial SSU rRNA". It matches the Rfam family "Bacterial small subunit ribosomal RNA", at positions 35 to 695 of the family's 1533-position model. The record is from RNAcentral. Lineage: Bacteria; Pseudomonadati; Pseudomonadota; Gammaproteobacteria; Pseudomonadales; Pseudomonadaceae.